GAACGGGUGAGUAUAUAUCGGAACGUACCCAGUAAGUGGGGGAUAACGCAGCGAAAGUUGCUGCUAAUACCGCAUACGAUCUACGGAUGAAAGUGGGGGACCUGCAAGGGCCUCAUGCUUUUUGGAGCGGCCGAAUAUCUGAUUAGCUAGUUGGUGAGGUAAAGGCUCACCAAGGCAUCGAUCAGUAGCUGGUCUAAGAGGACGACCAGCCACACUGGAACUGAGACACGGUCCAGACUCCUACGGGAGGCAGCAGUGGGGAAUUUUUGGACAAUGGGGGCAACCCUGAUCCAGCAAUGCCGCGUGAGUGAAGAAGGCCUUCGGGUUGUAAAGCUCUUUUGUCAGGGAAGAAACGGUGAGUUCUAAUACAGCUUACUAAUGACGGUACCUGAAGAAAUAAGCACCGGCUUAACUACGUGCCCAGCAAGACCGGCGGGUAAUUACGUCAGGGGUUGCAAGGCGUUAAUUCGGGAAUUUACUUGGGCGUUAAA
This 491-nucleotide ribosomal RNA is filed under the name uncultured bacterium. Its description in RNAcentral is "bacterial SSU rRNA". It matches the Rfam family "Bacterial small subunit ribosomal RNA", at positions 100 to 565 of the family's 1533-position model. The record is from RNAcentral.